This 1472-nucleotide ribosomal RNA is filed under the name Candidatus Scalindua sp. Its description in RNAcentral is "bacterial SSU rRNA". It matches the Rfam family "Archaeal small subunit ribosomal RNA". Lineage: Bacteria; Pseudomonadati; Planctomycetota; Candidatus Brocadiia; Candidatus Brocadiales; Candidatus Scalinduaceae. The record is from RNAcentral.
CAAUACCCGUUGAUCCUGCGGGAGAUUGCUGCUUUCGGGAUACGAUUAAGCCAUGCAAGUCAAGGGGGCUUCGGCCACCGGCAGAAUGCUCAGUAACACGUCGAUAACUUUCCUUUUGGUUCGGAAUAGCUUUGGGAAACUGAGGGUAAAUCCGAAUAUGAGAUUUUUUCUGGAAUGAUAUUUCUCUGAAACGUAAGGCCAAAAGAUAGGUCGGCGCCCGAUUAGGUCGUUGGUGGGGUAAUGGCCCACCAAGCCAUCGAUCGGUAGGGGCCUUGAGAGAGGAAGCCUCGAGAAGGGCACUGAGAUACUUGCCCUAGCCCUACGGGGUGCAGCAGGCGCGAAACCUUUACAAUGCACGAAAGUGCGAUAAGGGGAUCCCGAGUGCUUAUACAUUGUAUAGGCUUUUGCCAAGUGUAAAUAACUUGGCGAAUAAGUGGUGGGAAAGACUGGUGCCAGCCGCCGCGGUAACACCAGCGCCACAAGUAGGAAUCACAUUUAUUGGGCCUAAAGCGUCCGUAGUCGGUUUGAAAAAUCUCUUGUGAAAUCGUUGUGCUUAACGCAACGGCGUGCGAGAGACACUUUCAGACUUGAGACCGGGAGGGGUUAGAGGUAUUCUUGGGGGAGCGGUAAAAUGUUAUAAUCCCAAGAGGACCGCCUGUGGCGAAGGCGUCUAACCAGAACGGAUCUGACGAUCAGGGACGAAAGCCAGGGGAGCAAUCCGGAUUAGAUACCCGAGUAGUCCUGGCUGUAAACUCUGCGAGCAAGGUGUUGCACAUUCUCCGUGAAUGUGCAGUGUCGAAGCGAAGGCGUUAAGCUCGCCGCCUGGGAAGUACGGUCGCAAGACUGAAACUUAAAGGAAUUGGCGGGGGAGCACAACAAGGGGUGCGGCGUGCGGUUUAAUCCAAAUCAACACGGAGAAUCUCACCAGAGGCGACGGCAGGAUGAAAGUCAGAUUGAAGGUCUUACUAGACAAGCCGAGAGGUGGUGCAUGGCCGCCGUCAGCUCGUGCUGUGAAGUGUCCUGUUAAGUCAGGCAACGAGCGAGACCUGUGCCUACAAUUGCCAGCAACAUCUUUAGAUGGAUUGGGCACAUUGUAGGGACUGCCUUGGAAACAAGGAGGAAGGUGCAGGCAACGGUAGGUCUGUAUGCCCCGAAUCCUCUGGGCUACACGCGCGCAACAAUGGCAUGGACAAUGGGAUGCAACUCCGAAAGGAGAAGCUAAACCUCUAAACCAUGUCUCAGUCCAGAUUGUGGCUUGUAACUCAGCCACAUGACGUUGGAAUCCCUAGUAACCAGACGUUAGCAUCGUCCGGUGAAUAUGUCCCUGCUCCUUGUACACACCGCCCGUCAAAUCACCUGAGUUGGGUUUGAAUGAGGUCCUAUCUUUUGGUAGGCUCGAAUUCGAGUUCAGCAAGGGGGGUUAAGUCGUAACAAGGUACCCGUAGGGGAACCUGCGGCUGGAUCACCUCCUU